CUGCGCCAGCCGCUCCAAUGUCGAUACUCUUCACAUUCCCUUCUUCCGUGGACAAUGCUACGCUGAUAUCAUUUUCGGAAUUCGCUACUUCUUUUCUCGGUUCAUCUCCACUAUCAGAAGUUGCUGUGGUGUUUCCUGGCUGAAGCGUGUCAACUGAAACAUCACUGUUAGCUGCUGCAUUUACAGAAGUCGGUGGAGGAUCAACAGCCUCCUCACCAAUAUCCACAUGAGAUGAAGCUCCUCCUACAGCCACAUCAGACCGAGCUUCUGCCUCAUCACUGACACCACUAGUGUCAGAGGUUGCUGUGGUGUUUCCUGGCUGAAGCGUGUCAACUGAAACAUCACUGUUAGCUGCUGCAUUUACAGAAGUCGGUGGAGGAUCAACAGCCUCCUCACCAAUAUCCACAUGAGAUGAAGCUCCUCCUACAGCCACAUCAGACCGAGCUUCUGCCUCAUCACUGACACCACUAGUGUCAGAGGUUGCUGUGGUGUUUCCUGGCUGAAGCGUGUCAACUGAAACAUCACUGUUAGCUGCUGCAUUUACAGAAGUCGGUGGAGGAUCAACAACCUCCUCACCAAUAUCCACAUGAGAUGAAGCUCCUCCUACAGCCACAUCAGACGG
This 622-nucleotide long non-coding RNA is filed under the name Brassica rapa (field mustard). RNAcentral describes it as "long non-coding RNA (BRAP_LNC000072)". The record is from RNAcentral. Lineage: Eukaryota; Viridiplantae; Streptophyta; Magnoliopsida; Brassicales; Brassicaceae.